This 301-nucleotide ribosomal RNA is filed under the name uncultured bacterium. Its description in RNAcentral is "partial 16S ribosomal RNA". It matches the Rfam family "Bacterial small subunit ribosomal RNA", at positions 509 to 807 of the family's 1533-position model. The record is from RNAcentral.
CAGCCGCCACGGGAAUACGUAGGGUGCGAGCGUUAAUCGGAAUUACUGGGCGUAAAGCGGGCGCAGACGGUUACCUAAGCAGGAUGUGAAAUCCCCGGGCUCAACCUGGGAACUGCGUUCUGAACUGGGUAACUAGAGUGUGUCAGAGGGAGGUAGAAUUCCACGUGUAGCAGUGAAAUGCGUAGAGAUGUGGAGGAAUACCGAUGGCGAAGGCAGCCUCCUGGGAUAACACUGACGUUCAUGCCCGAAAGCGUGGGUAGCAAGCAGGAUUAGAUACCCCCGUAGUCCCUGUCUCUUAUAC